This 253-nucleotide ribosomal RNA is filed under the name uncultured bacterium. Its description in RNAcentral is "partial 16S ribosomal RNA". It matches the Rfam family "Bacterial small subunit ribosomal RNA", at positions 524 to 776 of the family's 1533-position model. The record is from RNAcentral.
CACGUAGGGCGCGAGCGUUGUCCGGAAUUAUUGGGCGUAAAGAGCUCGUAGGCGGUUUGUCGCGUCGGCUGUGAAAACUCGGGGCUCAACCCCGAGCCUGCAGUCGAUACGGGCAGACUAGAGUGCUGUAGGGGAGACUGGAAUUCCUGGUGUAGCGGUGAAAUGCGCAGAUAUCAGGAGGAACACCCGUGGCGAAGGCGGCUCUCUGGGACGGUACUGACGCUGGGACGCGAAAGCGUGGGGAGCGAACAGG